CCUACGGGUGGCAGCAGUGGGGAAUUUUGGACAAUGGGCGCAAGCCUGAUCCAGCUAUUCCGCGUGUGGGAAGACGGCCUUCGGGUUGUAAACCACUUUUGUAGAGAACGAAAAGUCUAUUGAUAAUACCGAUAGAUGAUGACGGUACUCUAAGAAUAAGCACCGGCUAACUACGUGCCAGCAGCCGCGGUAAUACGUAGGGUGCGAGCGUUAAUCGGAAUUACUGGGCGUAAAGGGUGUGCAGGCGGUUUUGCAAGAUGGAUGUGAAAGCCCCGGGCUUAAACGGGGAAAGCCAGACAUGACUGCCAGACUAGAGUGCAUCAGAGGGGGGUGGAAUUCCAAGUGUAGCAGUGAAAUGCGUAGAUAUUUGGAAGAACACCGAUGGCGAAGGCAGCCCCCUGGGACGCAACUGACGCUCAUGCACGAAAGCGUGGGGAGCAAACAGGAUUAGAUACCCGGGUAGUC
RNAcentral lists this ribosomal RNA (465 nucleotides) under uncultured bacterium. RNAcentral's name for it is "partial 16S ribosomal RNA". It matches the Rfam family "Bacterial small subunit ribosomal RNA", at positions 338 to 795 of the family's 1533-position model. The record is from RNAcentral.